Molecule: ribosomal RNA, 501 nt
Filed under: uncultured bacterium
Lineage: Bacteria
Description: partial 16S ribosomal RNA
Rfam family: Bacterial small subunit ribosomal RNA
Source: RNAcentral
AUUGAACGCUGGCGGCAGGCUUAACACAUGCAAGUCGAGCGGAGAGAGGUAGCUUGCUACUGAUCUUAGCGGCGGACGGGUGAGUAAUGCUUAGGAAUCUGCCUAUCAGUGGGGGACAACAUUUCGAAAGGAAUGCUAAUACCGCAUACGUCCUACGGGAGAAAGCAGGGGAUCUUCGGACCUCGCGCUAAUAGAUGAGCCUAAGUCGGAUUAGCUAGUUGGUGGGGUAAAGGCCUACCAAGGCGACGAUCUGUAGCGGGUCUGAGAGGAUGAUCCGCCACACUGGGACUGGGACACGGCCCAGACUCCUACGGGAGGCAGCAGUGGGGAAUAUUGGACAAUGGGCGGAAGCCUGAUCCAGCCAUGCCGCGUGUGUGAAGAAGGCCUUAUGGUUGUAAAGCACUUUAAGCGAGGAGGAGGCUACUUUAGUUAAUACCUAGAGAUAGUGGACGUUACUCGCAGAAUAAGCACCGGCUAACUCUGUGCCAGCAGCCGCCGUAA